RNAcentral lists this small RNA (1348 nucleotides) under Pongo abelii (Sumatran orangutan). RNAcentral's name for it is "retained intron". The record is from RNAcentral. Lineage: Eukaryota; Metazoa; Chordata; Mammalia; Primates; Hominidae.
GCUCUUCUUCCGCCGCUGCCCGUUCGAUGGCGCCUUCGCCUUGGCCGCCGGCUUGCGCGACUGUGUGCGCUUCCUGCGCGCCUUCCGCCUGCGGGACGCCGACGUGCAGUUCCUGGCCUCGGUGCUGCCCCCAGACACGGACCCUGCGUUCUUCGAGCACCUUCGGGCCCUCGACUGCUCCGAGGUGACGGUGCGAGCCCUGCCCGAGGGCUCCCUCGCCUUCCCGGGCGUGAGUAGGGGUAAGCGGGCGGCGCGGCGGCCACGGGGUGCUGGGCCGAGCGCGGAGCUGACUUCGCUCCCCGCAGGUGCCGCUCCUGCAGGUGUCCGGGCCGCUCCUGGUGGUGCAGCUGCUGGAGACACCGCUGCUCUGCCUGGUCAGCUACGCCAGCCUGGUGGCCACCAACGCAGCGCGGCUUCGCUUGAUCGCAGGGCCAGAGAAGCGGCUGCUAGAGAUGGGCCUGAGGCGGGCUCAGGGCCCCGAUGGGGGCCUGACAGCCUCCACCUACAGCUACCUGGGCGGUGAGUGUCUGGUGCGGGGCAAGGCAAGGGCCGGGAAGGAGGAGCCCCGUCUUGGCCCGAAGUCCCCCAAUCCCACCGCCUUCCUCUCCAGGCUUCGACAGCAGCAGCAACGUGCUAGCGGGCCAGCUGCGAGGUGUGCCGGUGGCCGGGACCCUGGCCCACUCCUUCGUCACUUCCUUUUCAGGCAGCGAGGUGCCCCCUGACCCGGUCAGUCCCUCCUCUCAACCCUGCUGUCUCCAGGCGACAGGCCCCAAGCCAGCCCUUUCUCUGGCGAGCGGUGUGCCACCCAGUCAGGUCACCCCAGUGCUAUCCCAGGAAGCUGGCACGGGCUGCAUUACCUUUGCCCUCAAACUAGGGUGUCCCUGGCUGCUCCCAGGCCUCAUACUGCAUUCCUGGCCCCCAUUCGUCACCGACUCUGUUCCACAGAUGUUGGCACCAGCAGCUGGUGAGGGCCCUGGGGUGGACCUGGCAGCCAAAGCCCAGGUGUGGCUGGAGCCCGUGUGUGCCCACCUGGGGCUGGGGGUGCAGGAGCCGCACCCAGGCGAGCGGGCAGCCUUUGUGGCCUAUGCCUUGGCUUUUCCCCGGGCCUUCCAGGGCCUCCUGGACUCCUACAGCGUGUGGAGGUGAGCCCCGGCACUUUAGGGGUGGGCUCAGCAGAACCUCAGCAGCCCGUGACCCCCUUAUCCAUUCCUGCAGGAGUGGUCUGCCCAACUUCCUAGCAGUCGCCCUGGCCUUGGGAGAGCUGGGCUACCGGGCAGUGGGCGUGAGGCUGGACAGUGGCGACCUGCUACAGCAGGCUCAGGAGAUCCGCAAGGUCUUCCGAGCUGCU